Molecule: non-coding RNA, 151 nt
Filed under: uncultured Entomoneis
Lineage: Eukaryota; Bacillariophyta; Bacillariophyceae; Surirellales; Surirellaceae
Source: RNAcentral
AACGAACGAAAGGACGAACAAACAAACGAACGAACGAACAAACAAACAAACAAACAAAUUCGUUCGUUUGUUGGUUGGAUAGUUGCUUGCUUCCGUCUCCCCUCGCUGUUUUUUACGUUCUUUCUCUUGUGUUAUUCCUUCUUCCUUCUUU